GACGAACGCUGGCGGCGUGCUUAACACAUGCAAGUCGAACGGAAAGGCCCCCUUGUGGGGUACUCGAGUGGCGAACGGGUGAGUAACACGUGAGUAACCUACCCUUGACUUUGGGAUAACUUCAGGAAACUGGGGCUAAUACCGGAUAGGAGCUCCUGCUGCAUGGUGGGGGUUGGAAAGUUUCGGCGGUUGGGGAUGGACUCGCGGCUUAUCAGCUUGUUGGUGGGGUAGUGGCUCACCAAGGCUUUGACGGGUAGCCGGCCUGAGAGGGUGACCGGCCACAUUGGGACUGAGAUACGGCCCAGACUCCUACGGGGGGCAGCAGUGGGGAAUAUUGCACAAUGGGCGGAAGCCUGAUGCAGCAACGCCGCGUGCGGGAUGACGGCCUUCGGGUUGUAAACCGCUUUCGCCUGUGACGAAGCGUGAGUGACGGUAAUGGGUAAAGAAGCACCGGCUAACUACGUG
This 465-nucleotide ribosomal RNA is filed under the name uncultured bacterium. Its description in RNAcentral is "partial 16S ribosomal RNA". It matches the Rfam family "Bacterial small subunit ribosomal RNA", at positions 28 to 507 of the family's 1533-position model. The record is from RNAcentral.